UCGAGAAUCUUCGGCAAUGGGCGCAAGCCUGACCGAGCGACGCCGCGUGCGGGAUGAAGGCCCUUGGGUUGUAAACCGCUGUCAGAGGGGAUGAAGUGCCGGAGAGCAAUCUCUUCGGUUUGACAUAGCCUCAGAGGAAGCACGGGCUAAGUUCGUGCCAGCAGCCGCGGUAAUACGAACUGUGCGAACGUUAUUCGGAAUCACUGGGCUUAAAGGGUGCGUAGGCGGCUGUUUAAGUAGGGUGUGAAAGCCCCCGGCUCAACCGGGGAAUUGCGCCCUAAACUGGACAGCUUGAGUGAGGUAGGGGUGUACGGAACUUCCGGUGGAGCGGUGAAAUGUGUUGAUAUCGGAAGGAACGCCGGUAGCGAAAGCGGUACACUGGGUCUCAACUGACGCUGAGGCACGAAAGCCAGGGGAGCGAACG
Molecule: ribosomal RNA, 424 nt
Filed under: uncultured Planctomyces sp.
Lineage: Bacteria; Pseudomonadati; Planctomycetota; Planctomycetia; Planctomycetales; Planctomycetaceae
Description: bacterial SSU rRNA
Rfam family: Bacterial small subunit ribosomal RNA
Source: RNAcentral